RNAcentral lists this ribosomal RNA (253 nucleotides) under uncultured bacterium. RNAcentral describes it as "partial 16S ribosomal RNA". It matches the Rfam family "Bacterial small subunit ribosomal RNA", at positions 524 to 776 of the family's 1533-position model. The record is from RNAcentral.
UACGGAGGGUGCAAGCGUUAAUCGGAAUUACUGGGCGUAAAGCGUGCGCAGGCGGUUUGUUAAGUCUGUUGUGAAAUCCCCGAGCUCAACUUGGGAAUUGCAAUGGAUACUGGCAGGCUGGAGUAUGGUAGAGGAAGGUGGAAUUCCCGGUGUAGCAGUGAAAUGCGUAGAGAUCGGGAGGAACACCUGUGGCGAAGGCGGCCUUCUGGACCAAUACUGACGCUCAUGCACGAAAGCGUGGGGAGCAAACAGG